Molecule: non-coding RNA, 128 nt
Organism: Gossypium raimondii (Peruvian cotton)
Lineage: Eukaryota; Viridiplantae; Streptophyta; Magnoliopsida; Malvales; Malvaceae
Source: Rfam
UGUUAAAAAUUACAUCCAUUUCUAUUGUUAAAAAUUGGUGUGCCUAAUAGAAUAACUAGACAGUUACAGGUAACGUGUCAUGUGUACCUCAUUCUGACGUAUAGUAGUAAUGGAUGGAAUUUUUAUCA